AAUAACUUUUUUAACAUACUGUCGGGGGGUUACUUUCCACUUUAAAUAUUUUUUUGUGAAAGUGAUUAAUGGAUCAGCGCGGUCGAGUACUUGGCCAAAUGGAGACUAUCCGUAAUCGAGAGCAGCACUAUGCGAAAGAUUGUGAGAUGGUGGGAGGAUCGAAAACAGUUCAUUCUAUAGACAAAUAUAAAGGAAAGGAAGAGGCUAUAAGAAUAAUAGGAAAUAAAGAUCACAAAAAAUCGAUGUUUUAAUUCGUUUUUUAUACAAGACCAACUAUUUCGAUCGUUAGAGUGUAUAUAUGUGCAUUAUCUGCAGCCUUUCAUGAUUUGUAUUUAGCUGUGUUAAUGGAUCUGUUUAAUCAGCACAAUCAAACGCAAAUAAUUAAUCUCUUUUUAGCCAUGAGAAUUUAAUCAGACAGAAAUAUAGAUUUUAUUUGAAGAAUGCAAUGUAUAAGUAAUAUAAAUUAUUUUAAUAUAGUCUCUGAAUAUAUUAAAGUAUAAUUUUCUCAUUUUAACUUUAAGUAUAUCUUUCUUAAGUUUAAAUUAUUGAACUUUAAAAUUUACAUAAAUAUAUUUUGCGAUAAUAUAUUUAAGAAAAGCAAUUUUUAUAAUUUGGAAAAAUGAAUGUAUAUUAUAUAUGAUAUAAGACAUAAUAUAUAUAUUGGGUCUGUUCUUUAUAGCUGAACUGACAAUGAGUUGAACUGCUGCACUAGUUUAGAAUUUAUCUUUCUCCUUCCAAUGUGGAGAGAAAGAGAUAGUAUCUUUUAGUAUCUUUGAUAUUUUUAGGGAACAUUUGUGCAUUAUAUAAAUAUUAUAUCCAUUUAUUGUUAUGUCAUCACAUAUUUAUGCUUCAGUUUCUAUGUCUUGUAUUAUAAAAUAAUAAUGUAAUAAAGUUGAAUUUCUCUGUAUAU
Molecule: long non-coding RNA, 910 nt
Organism: Formica exsecta
Lineage: Eukaryota; Metazoa; Arthropoda; Insecta; Hymenoptera; Formicidae
Exons: 3
Source: RefSeq, a predicted model, not a curated record